GAUGAACGCUGGCGGCGUGCUUAACACAUGCAAGUCGAACGGACCAUAUUCGUAUGGUUAGUGGCAGACGGGUGCGUAACACGUAGGUGACCUGCCCUCGAGUGGGGAAUAACUCGACUAACGUCGAGCUAAUACCGCAUACGUUCGCUCCUUCAGUGGGGUGAGUAAAGCAGUAAUGCGCUUGGGGAUGGGCCUGCGGCGGAUUAGGUAGUUGGUGGGGUAACGGCCUACCAAGCCGAUGAUCCGUAGGGGGCGUGAGAGCGUGGCCCCCCACAUUGGCACUGAGACACGGGCCAAACUCCUACGGGAGGCUG
RNAcentral lists this ribosomal RNA (314 nucleotides) under uncultured Chloroflexota bacterium. RNAcentral's name for it is "bacterial SSU rRNA". It matches the Rfam family "Bacterial small subunit ribosomal RNA", at positions 28 to 351 of the family's 1533-position model. The record is from RNAcentral. Lineage: Bacteria; Bacillati; Chloroflexota.